RNAcentral lists this ribosomal RNA (484 nucleotides) under uncultured bacterium. Its description in RNAcentral is "partial 16S ribosomal RNA". It matches the Rfam family "Bacterial small subunit ribosomal RNA", at positions 30 to 507 of the family's 1533-position model. The record is from RNAcentral.
AUUGAACGCUGGCGGCAGGCCUAACACAUGCAAGUCGAGCGGUAGAGAGAAGCUUGCUUCUCUUGAGAGCGGCGGACGGGUGAGUAAUGCCUAGGAAUCUGCCUGGUAGUGGGGGAUAACGUUCGGAAACGGACGCUAAUACCGCAUACGUCCUACGGGAGAAAGCAGGGGACCUUCGGGCCUUGCGCUAUCAGAUGAGCCUAGGUCGGAUUAGCUAGUUGGUGGGGUAAUGGCUCACCAAGGCGACGAUCCGUAACUGGUCUGAGAGGAUGAUCAGUCACACUGGAACUGAGACACGGUCCAGACUCCUACGGGAGGCAGCAGUGGGGAAUAUUGGACAAAGGGCGAAAGCCUGAUCCAGCCAUGCCGCGUGUGUGAAGAAGGUCUUCGGAUUGUAAAGCACUUUAAGUUGGGAGGAAGGGUUGUAGAUUAAUACUCUGCAAUUUUGACGUUACCGACAGAAUAAGCACCGGCUAACUCUGUG